Molecule: ribosomal RNA, 372 nt
Filed under: uncultured organism
Description: bacterial SSU rRNA
Rfam family: Bacterial small subunit ribosomal RNA
Source: RNAcentral
CGUAGGGUGCGAGCGUUAAUCGGAAUUACUGGGCGUAAAGCGUGCGCAGGCGGUUUAGUAAGACAGGCGUGAAAUCCCCGGGCUCAACCUGGGAACUGCGCUUGUGACUGCGAAGCUAGAGUACGGCAGAGGGGGGUGGAAUUCCACGUGUAGCAGUGAAAUGCGUAGAGAUGUGGAGGAACACCAAUGGCGAAGGCAGCCCCCUGGGUCGAUACUGACGCUCAUGCACGAAAGCGUGGGUAGCAAACAGGAUUAGAUACCCUGGUAGUCCACGCCCUAAACGAUGUCAACUAGGUGUUGGGAGGGUAAAACCUUUUAGUACCGGAGCUAACGCGUGAAGUUGACCGCCUGGGGAGUACGGCCGCAAGGUUA